Molecule: unclassified non-coding RNA, 22 nt
Filed under: Mus musculus (house mouse)
Lineage: Eukaryota; Metazoa; Chordata; Mammalia; Rodentia; Muridae
Description: oocyte_clustered_small_RNA13058
Source: RNAcentral
CGUGGCGCCGGCAAGAUGGGCA